Non-coding RNA from Paramuricea clavata, 1046 nucleotides. Lineage: Eukaryota; Metazoa; Cnidaria; Anthozoa; Malacalcyonacea; Plexauridae. The record is from the annotation of a GenBank genome assembly.
CCAAUAAUAACAAAGAAAUUAUAUAGUCCUUGAUUUGUAAUGCCGUUAGAUGGCUCGUUUCAGGUGCUAAAAAGUUCGUAGACACAGACGAUUCUUCUAAAAUUAAAGAAAGGGGGGAAGUUGAAUCUUGUUCCAAAAACAAAUCGAACCGUAUCACGUUUCACUUCGCCGCACGCAACGCCACCUCGCUGAAUACAAUCGAAAAUACAUUUUUAUAGUAACAUAUGAUGAAAUGGAAAGUAAUUUGGUGCAAAUUAAUGUAAUUAGGUGCAAAUCUAUAAUUAUGCAAAUGAACACAAGUGCACAACGCAUGUCUACAACGUAUAUUUAUACUUGUUAAUUAAAAAGUCAAACUGUCAAACCUUUAACCUGUCCUUGUUUAUAUUCCAAUGGAUUGUAUAAAUUCGCUGGGUCCAAACGUUUGGGUUUUCGAGUCGUUACACAAAGAAAAAUACAUUAAUUCAACAAGCAAGAGAGUCCAGAGUGCGACACAACGUAUUUUCCAUAGGAAACCGGCACAAGUCUUUGAAAAUUCAAUGAAACUGUGUGAAAUAUAUAUUAGAUCGCUCAGAGAAAAGCCGCCAUUUUGAAACUGAACUGAAUAUGUCUCUAGAGCAAUCUAUCCUUGGAGUUCGGAAUUGUGCGCGUGCGUACAAGGGUACACGCUAAUAAACGAAAAAUGUACCACAAGCAUGGCAUGAGCCGGCUAUUACGUACAUAAAUACAUGUAAUCUUAUUACUAUACUAUGUAAAUCAUGGGACCGAGGAAUCGAUGGGAUUUUGGCUUAAUCGUUGCACCCUGAGCCUGCGAUGAGCAGUAACGCAAACUCGAUUUCUCGACUACGAAAAAAACAGGAAAAAACAGAAAAAGAGGGUUUUAAGACACUUGGCCUACAGGCCAGUGUAAUAAGUACCAAGGUUCGAAAAUUAAUUUAUGUCAUCAAUUCAUGAACUUUGACACAACACUAUGGUUACCAACACCUGAAACGCUAAUCCUUUCACACAUCGUGAGGUAUAAAAAAAAAACUGAACAGAUUUGAAAUUGC